This 778-nucleotide long non-coding RNA is filed under the name Lathyrus oleraceus (garden pea). Its description in RNAcentral is "Pisum sativum (pea) long non-coding RNA (PSAT_LNC014883)". Lineage: Eukaryota; Viridiplantae; Streptophyta; Magnoliopsida; Fabales; Fabaceae. The record is from RNAcentral.
UUAACCAUUUCAAAAGACUCUUCUGCUACAUGUCAGUGAGGAAAAAGAGAAUUUCAUUCAUUUUAAUAAACAUUAAAUCUAAUCAUGAAUAUGACUUUAACGAUUAUAUCUUUUAUCUUUUUAUCUCCUCUCUCAAUCCUUCAUAUCCAAAAAAAUUAUGCCUUCCAAUACCUUUCCCUUCUCUCCUUUCAUCAUGAGAACCAAAAACUCGCUUCAAAAUACACACAUCAGAUCUGCAUCUACCCUCAAAACCACAAAAGAUAACCAUAAAUCUAACAGAUCGGAAAAAGAAUUAUGCAUUCUAACAUAAAGAACCUUCUCCUAACCGAUCCACAAACAAGCCAAUGGAAUGGGGAAAUAAAUGAGCAAGUGUACAAUAUUGUUAAUAAAACUAGAAAUCAACAACAACAAAAAACAAUGAGUAAAGACUCGACCAAAGAUGAAAUUUCCGGCAAGGGUACCUUUGAAGAAAUUCGACUUCAAGGUGUGUCGCCUCUCUCUCUCUCUGUCCUCUAAAUCUCUUUUAUCUACUCCUUUCCUGUUUCUAGUUGUCGUCGGUUCCCUUGAUGUUAUCUCUGCUAGGGUAAUGGUUUUGGGGUAAGUCGUGGCUUAGCUCAAGUUUGUUGAGUUUCAGUAUGAAAUUUCAACAAACUCUGAAAGAAAGAUUAGAGCUUUAGUGAUGUUUUUGCUUCUAUUUCUGCAGAGUAACGGUGCUGGAAAAGGGUCUUUUAUGAAAUAUUGCUAUGUUGUUCUUGAUGUGUGUUCUAGGGUUUUUAGA